RNAcentral lists this small RNA (1221 nucleotides) under Pongo abelii (Sumatran orangutan). Its description in RNAcentral is "processed transcript". The record is from RNAcentral. Lineage: Eukaryota; Metazoa; Chordata; Mammalia; Primates; Hominidae.
GUUUUCUGUCCAGAUAUUCCAAUGGAGACAGUUGGAAAACCUGUACUUCAGAGAAAAGAAGUUUUCCGUGGAAGUUCAUGACCCACGCAGGGCCUCAGUGACAAGGAGGACGUUCGGGCACAGCGGCAUCGCGGUGCACACGUGGUAUGCAUGUCCGGCAUUGAUCAAGUCCAUCUGGGCUAUGGCCAUAAGCCAACAUCAGUUCUAUCUGGAUAGAAAGCAGAGUAAGUCCAAAAUCCAUGCAGCACGCAGCCUGAGUGAGAUCGCCAUCGACCUGACCGAGACAGGGACGCUGAAGACCUCGAAGCUGGCCAACAUGGGCAGCAAGGGGAAGAUCAUCAGUGGCAGCAGCGGCAGCCUGCUGUCUUCAGGAUCUGGUGCCAGGAGACACUGCAUUCUACUCCCAGGUCUAAAGAGACGGAUUGUCAUUUCCCUUCUUUAGUUCUAGAACAACAGAUUCCUUUCUUCUUUGGAGUACUGUUUGCUUCGAAGUUUCCCCUCCUUCCAGAGAGAAAAGCACCCCUUCUCUGUCUUCUGAAAUCAGUGGCUGGUCAUCAAUAUCCCCUCUGUGUCAAAAACAGAUGAGCCACGCGUGGCUCCUGACAACGUCCUCCGGGCAGAAUGUGCGCUCAUAUCCGGUGCUGAGUCGCCCAGGGUCUUCUGAACAAUUGGAGCAUUUCUGGCUCGCGACUGAAUGAGGCUGUCCUUCCAUGUGUCUGCCAGCCGGGAGGAGAGCUGCUGUUUGUGCUGCUGGCGUUCCCUCCACAUCCGCUCCUCCACACCCAGCUGUCCCCGGCUGGAAUCUGGAGUUCCCCGGCUGGAAGCUGGGAAACCCACAGUGACACAGGUAGUGUCUCCAGGGUCUCAAACAAUGUCGAUAGCAUUGGGAAGUUCACUCCAAAGAUUUACAAAUGCCCCCGAAAAUGACUUUCUGACUUGGCGUGAGUAACUCUAUCUCUCUCUCUGCUUGGAUGGGAAUUGUCUUUUUAGGGUCAGCCCUUUUUGUCUUCCUCGUUGACCAGGUUAUUAGUGAACUAAUGAAAAUCCUUUGGAUUAGGAUUGAAAUGUGGUCAUAAGGUCGCCAGAAACAACAGAUUCUAUCUUUAGUAUCAUUCAAGUAGAUCAUUUCCUCCCAAUAAGUGGGAGGAAAGAUUUUUUGCUGGAGAACUGACCUGAUGACACUGUUUUCCUGACAAUAAUUCAGAGGCAGGCUUAACCUUC